RNAcentral lists this long non-coding RNA (2993 nucleotides) under Mus musculus (house mouse). RNAcentral's name for it is "long non-coding RNA chr2:34426212-34429205". Lineage: Eukaryota; Metazoa; Chordata; Mammalia; Rodentia; Muridae. The record is from RNAcentral.
UUCCUUCCUUCCUUCCUUCCUUCCUUCCUUCGCUUCCAAAAAAUUCUUUUUCAGUAAUUAUUACAGGUUCUGCUUAGUUUUUUUUCUGUUGUAAAAAAAAAAUUACAAUAGCAUUAGCAGAGUGUAGCUAAGGGUCUUGUUUAUAGCUGAACACAUUUGUGUCUUAAAGCUUUUAUGAAGACCUAGGAAGAAUUUCUCUCAGGCCUCAGAACCCAAAUAGCACAGCAAUGGCAUGUUUACAGAUGGUUUAUGGUGUUUGUCACAAUGGGUAGGGCCUGUGCUUGAGCAAGUUUUUUUUGUUUUGUUUUGGUUUGGUUUUUUAAGAUUUAUUUACUUUUAUGAGUACACCAUUGCUCUCUUCAGACCCUCCAGAAGAGGGCUUCGGAUCCCAUUACAGAUGGUUGUGAGCCACUAUGUGGUUGCUGGGAAUUGAACUCAGAACCUCUGGAAGAGCAAUCAGUGCUCUUAACCACUGAGCCAUUUCUCCUGGCUCCUGAACAAGUUUCUUAACCAUUUUUCCUGUGCCUUUUUUGUUUGAUGCUGUUUGCUUGUUUGUUUUAGACACUCUGUAGCUGGCCUGGAACUUACUGUUGUAGACCAGGCUGACUUGGAACUCACAGAGAUCCUCCUGCCUCUGCCUCUGAGUGCAGGGAUUAAAGGCAUGGGUUACUGUGUCUGAUGAUAGCAGCAGUCUUUAAAAGGUUGUUUUGAUGGUUAUAUAAAUUAAUUCAUGUAAAAAGGAUAGAAUAAUUUUAGCGUUUGCAGUCACUUAAGGUUAGGUGCUGCUAGUUCUGUGGUCCAGCUAUAGCAGGUGUACAGUUCUUUGGAUGCACACUAUUUUAUCCUGAAUUAAUGCCCCUUGGCGUCUUUCCCCUACUCUGCAUGUAUGCUUCAUCAAGCGUCAUCUCAUGCUUUUCUAUAACCAUUGCCAGUUAAAGCUUGGGAGCUUGUGUGUAUGAAGUUCUUAUUAAAGAGUAUUCAGAACUGGGCAUGGUUGCAUAUGCCCAGUUUUGAGACAGGAAAUCCUUCUGGUUUGAGGCAAGCCUGGGCUACAGAAUGAGAUCCCAGUCUGAAAUGAUUUUUCAGAGUUGAUAUUCAUCAGAAUCUUCUAAAAAUGAUUGCCUUUUUAGACAAUGUGCUGAGUUACCACAUGCAGGUUCUGUGGUUAUUCAUGAAUAGGUGUGAGGAGUUGUGUGUAGUAUCCAUAUUAUGCCAGGAUCUUCUUUUAGUAGAGUAGUAGGAACUAAGCAGAUAUGUACUAAAUAUCUUUUUAUAAGGAGACCAACUUCAUAUAUGAAAAUGACCUAUUAUCUUUAAAACUGGGAAAGGUAACACACACAUGUAAUCCUGGCGCGUUCAACUUAGGGCAGGAGGCUCUGCAGUGAAGGCCAAGCUGGUAGCAAGUCUGAAGCCAGCCUGGGCUAUAUGAGACCCUGUCUCAAAAGGAAGAAACAAAAUCAUUUUGGAAUUGUUCUUACUCUGCAUAAGUGUCCCUGCUACUUUUUUUUAAAAAGUAAACAAAUAAGCUUUAAAGAAAUAUAAAACAACCACAAUAUUUUAUAAUUGAAAUUGAGAUAAAACUGGUUAAUUUUGUUUCACUUAGUGUUUCCCAGAUUUAAUUUUCGUUAAAAUUAAAAUAUAUACAAUAUGAAAUUUAUCAUUUUAAUGACUUUUCAAUAUCAAGUUCAGUGGCAUUAUAUAUACUCACAGUGGUUUGCAGCCAUUACUGCCGCCCAUCAGGAAUUUUCAUCUUCUUAGACUGAACAGUACUGAACAUCUGCCCAGUCCUCCUCCCUCCAGCCCCUGGCAACUACCAGUGUUCUUUGUGUCAGUAGGAAAUGAUGUGUGCUCUAGGUGGUUCCUGAGGGUACACGGACUGUGUGACUGGCACAUUUCACUCAGUUAUGUCCCUAGGCUUUGUCAUCCAUUGAAGCAUCAGCAUUUCCUGGGUUUUAAGGCUAAGGCUAUAGCAAUGCAUGGGUCACAUUUUGUUUAUCCUCUACUGUAUAUGUUUAUUUUUUUUAGUAAUUUGUGUGUGUAUAUAUAUUUAGUAAUAUGGGUUUGUGUAUGUAGAUGUGGGCCCAUGUGUGCUGAGGCCAGAGACAUUAGGUGUCCUGUUCUGCUCUUCUUUCCUUAUUCUGUUGCAGUGUGGCUGAAGCUUACUCUAGGCUGCUGACCAAGCUCCAAUGAUCCUCCUGUCUCUGUCCUCCAUAGCACUAAAGCCACAAGUGUAUGUAGUCAUACCUAUUUUUUAAAAUUUAUUUUAUUUAAUUUUAUGUGCAUUGGUGACUUGACUGCAUGUAAGUCUGUAUGAGGGUAUCGGAUCCCAUGGAACAGGAGUUACAGAUGGUUGUGAGCCACCAUGUGGUUGCUGGGGUUUGAACUCAGGACCUCUGAAAGAGCAGCCAGUGCUCUUAACUGCUGAGCCAUCUCUCUAGUCCUACCAUACCUGAUUUUUUAUAUAGGUGCUGGGAAUUUGAACUUAGGUUCAAAUCAUGGUCCCUAAUAGUGUUCCAUUGCAUGUAUGUGUCAGGGCAUAUGCACAGUUGUUUGGAUGUUUAGGUUAUGUUUAGAUUUUCAGUAUAUGUUCCAAACAAUUCUGAGGUAACACUUAUGCUCAGUUACUUCCUAGGGCAAGUUCUAGAGUGGAUUUCAGAGAGAGUUUAUGCUUAUAUUUUGAUAAGCAUUACCAAGUUUCCUUUGCAAGUACCCUCCUGUUGUAAAUUAGAGUGUAAUGUUUCAGGACUAAUGUCAAUACUAGUUCUUCAAAAUCUUUUUGCUUUUUGUACAAUUGAACAGGAAAAGUAACUUGAUUUCAUCUUCUGAACAUCUGUUUUAGAAAUCAAAUAUACCUUAGCUGCUUAGCUACUCUUAAAAGAUUUUAAGCCGGGCAGUGGUGGCGCAUGCCUCCAGCACUUGGGAGGCAGAGGCAGGCAGAUUUCUGAGUUCGAGGCCAGCCUGGUCUACACAGAGAAACCCUGUCUCGAAAAACC